RNAcentral lists this ribosomal RNA (301 nucleotides) under uncultured bacterium. RNAcentral describes it as "partial 16S ribosomal RNA". It matches the Rfam family "Bacterial small subunit ribosomal RNA", at positions 509 to 808 of the family's 1533-position model. The record is from RNAcentral.
CAGUAGCCGCGGUAAUACAGAGGGUGCGAGCGUUAAUCGGAUUUACUGGGCGUAAAGCGUGCGUAGGCGGCUUCUUAAGUCGGAUGUGAAAUCCCUGAGCUUAACUUAGGAAUUGCAUUCGAUACUGGGAAGCUAGAGUAUGGGAGAGGAUGGUAGAAUUCCAGGUGUAGCGGUGAAAUGCGUAGAGAUCUGGAGGAAUACCGAUGGCGAAGGCAGCCAUCUGGCCUAAUACUGACGCUGAGGUACGAAAGCAUGGGGAGCAAACAGGAUUAGAUACCCCCUGUAGUCCCUGUCUCUUAUA